This 484-nucleotide unclassified non-coding RNA is filed under the name uncultured Glomus. RNAcentral describes it as "SSU rRNA". It matches the Rfam family "Eukaryotic small subunit ribosomal RNA", at positions 569 to 1059 of the family's 1831-position model. The record is from RNAcentral. Lineage: Eukaryota; Fungi; Glomeromycota; Glomeromycetes; Glomerales; Glomeraceae.
AGCAGCCGCGGUAAUUCCAGCUCCAAUAGCGUAUAUUAAAGUUGUUGCAGUUAAAAGCUCGUAGUUGAAUUUCGGGAUCAUCAGGUUGGUCGUGCCUCUGGUAUGUACUGAUCUCGAUGGUUCCUCCUUCUUGAAGAACCGUAAUGCCAUUAAUUUGGUGUUGCGGGGAAACAGGACUGUUACUUUGAAAAAUUAGAGUGUUUAAAGCAGGCAAUCGCUUGAAUACAUUAGCAUGGAAUAAUGAAAUAGGACGUUCGAUCCUAUUUUGUUGGUUUCUAGGAUUGACGUAAUGAUUAAUAGGGAUAGUUGGGGGCAUUAGUAUUCAAUUGUCAGAGGUGAAAUCCUUGGAUUUAUUGAAGACUAACUACUGCGAAAGCAUUUGCCAAGGAUGUUUUCAUUAAUCAAGAACGAAAGUUAGGGGAUCGAAGACGAUCAGAUACCGUCGUAGUCUUAACCAUAAACUAUGCCGACUAGGGAUCGGAUG